UGAAAACCAAAAGGAAAAAAAAAAUCUUUCCUUUCUUUGGACGGUCUCUCUUGUUCAAUCUCUCCACGAUUCUACCUUUGCGUUAUCCCCAAAAUUCGCAACCUUUUUUUCUCUCUCUUCAACACAAUGGGUCCGCUUGCCAUCACCCAGCUAGCCACCGGUCUUAGCGUCUUAGCCGGCGCGGUUUUAGUCAAAUCGGUUCUUGACCAAAAGCCUAUGGCCGGUGGUCCUUCCCUCGUUGUCCGACCUGCAACGGUACGGGACGUGUCACGUGCUUCUGCUCUCGAUGGUCUGAUGGAGAUACUGGAUGUCGCAGGUGUUCCGGUUCUGGUCGGGCGGCUUGUAGCAACUGCGGAGGUACCGGAACCGGUACACCUUUACCGGUUCAGAUCACGGUUCGGCCGCCGAGUCGCCCUUUCUAAUUCCAAAGAUUUGCAUCCACUCUGAUGAACUGGUUGUUCCAGGAGCAGAGAUGAUAGAGUUUAUGGAUGUAUCUAAGUCAUCCAGCUCAUCGUCACUCGUGUAUUGUUUCUUAUAUACCGAUGACCCGACUUCUGAUAAAGAUGGGUUGUUCAGCUCUCCUAUGAAGCGUUUUAUGGAAUCUGUAGACGGCAUUAAGUAUACUGUUGGUGAUGCUGCACACGGGAAGACUAUAAUGCAUCCAUUAUCUUCUUCGCUCAAACCCUGAGUUUCAGACAAAAGGGUUUGUCAAGAAAAGACACACACACUGACUAUUGUAGUGUGAAGACGGUUUUUAUUCUAACCUCGGAGUUCAGAA
RNA transcript from Brassica napus (rape), 778 nucleotides. RefSeq lists it as uncharacterized. The record is from RefSeq and is a predicted model, not a curated record. The transcript is spliced from 2 exons. Lineage: Eukaryota; Viridiplantae; Streptophyta; Magnoliopsida; Brassicales; Brassicaceae.